RNAcentral lists this ribosomal RNA (373 nucleotides) under Enterobacter sp. RNAcentral describes it as "bacterial SSU rRNA". It matches the Rfam family "Bacterial small subunit ribosomal RNA", at positions 98 to 477 of the family's 1533-position model. The record is from RNAcentral. Lineage: Bacteria; Pseudomonadati; Pseudomonadota; Gammaproteobacteria; Enterobacterales; Enterobacteriaceae.
GCGGACGGGUGAGUAAUGUCUGGGAAACUGCCUGAUGGAGGGGGAUAACCACUGGAAACGGUAGCUAAUACCGCAUAACGUCGCAAGACCAAAGAGGGGGACCUUCGGGCCUCUUGCCAUCGGAUGUGCCCAGAUGGGAUUAGCUAGUAGGUGGGGUAAUGGCUCACCUAGGCGACGAUCCCUAGCUGGUCUGAGAGGAUGACCAGCCACACUGGAACUGAGACACGGUCCAGACUCCUACGGGAGGCAGCAGUGGGGAAUAUUGCACAAUGGGCGCAAGCCUGAUGCAGCCAUGCCGCGUGUAUGAAGAAGGCCUUCGGGUUGUAAAGUACUUUCAGCGAGGAGGAAGGCAUUGUGGUUAAUAACCACAGUG